Molecule: ribosomal RNA, 435 nt
Filed under: Borreliella garinii
Lineage: Bacteria; Pseudomonadati; Spirochaetota; Spirochaetia; Spirochaetales; Borreliaceae
Description: bacterial SSU rRNA
Rfam family: Bacterial small subunit ribosomal RNA
Source: RNAcentral
CGUCUUAAGCAUGCAAGUCAAACGGGAUGUAGCAAUACAUCUAGUGGCGAACGGGUGAGUAACGCGUGGAUGAUCUACCUACGAGAUGGGGAUAACUAUUAGAAAUAGUAGCUAAUACCGAAUAAAGUCAAUUAAUUUGUUAAUUGAUGAAAGGAAGCCUUUAAAGCUUCGCUUGUAGAUGAGUCUGCGUCUUAUUAGCUAGUUGGUAGGGUAAAUGCCUACCAAGGCGAUGAUAAGUAACCGGCCUGAGAGGGUGAACGGUCACACUGGAACUGAGAUACGGUCCAGACUCCUACGGGAGGCAGCAGCUAAGAAUCUUCCGCAAUGGGCGAAAGCCUGACGGAGCGACACUGCGUGAAUGAAGAAGGUCGAAAGAUUGUAAAAUUCUUUUAUAAAUGAGGAAUAAGCUUUGUAGGAAAUGACAAAGUGAUGACG